RNAcentral lists this ribosomal RNA (492 nucleotides) under uncultured bacterium. RNAcentral's name for it is "partial 16S ribosomal RNA". It matches the Rfam family "Bacterial small subunit ribosomal RNA", at positions 30 to 507 of the family's 1533-position model. The record is from RNAcentral.
AGUGAACGCUGGCGGUAGGCCUAACACAUGCAAGUCGAACGGCAGCACAGUAAGAGCUUGCUCUUACGGGUGGCGAGUGGCGGACGGGUGAGGAAUACAUCGGAAUCUACUUUUUCGUGGGGGAUAACGUAGGGAAACUUACGCUAAUACCGCAUACGACCUACGGGUGAAAGCAGGGGAUCUUCGGACCUUGCGCGAUUGAAUGAGCCGAUGUCGGAUUAGCUAGUUGGCGGGGUAAAGGCCCACCAAGGCGACGAUCCGUAGCUGGUCUGAGAGGAUGAGAGACCCAAUGGGAAGGGGACCGAGCCCCGGCCCCAGGAGGGAGGCACCAGGGGGAAAUUGGGGACAAGGGGCGCGAGCUUGACCCAGCAAACCGGGGGGGUGAAAGAGGGCUUGUGGUUUGAAAGCCCUUUUUUUGGGAAAAAAAAAGAAGAGGGUAAACACCCGGUUGUCGGGACGGACCCCAAAAAAAAAGCACCGGCUAACUCCGUG